CGGGGGGGGCAAGCGUUGUUCGGAAUUACUGGGCGUAAAGGGCUCGUAGGUGGCCAACUCAGUCGGACGUGAAAUCCCUCGGCUUAACCGGGGAACUGCGUCCGAUACUGGAUGGCUUGAGAUCGGGAGAGGGAUGCGGAAUUCCAGGUGUAGCGGUAAAAUGCGUAGAUAUCUGGAGGAACACCGGUGGCGAAGGCGGCAUCCUGGACCGACACUGACACUGAGGAGCGAAAGCCAGGGGAGCAAACGGGAUUAGAUACCCCGGUAGUCCUGGCCCUAAACGAUGAAUGCUUGGUGUGACGGGUAUCGAUCCCUGUCGUGCCGAAGCUAACGCAUUAAGCAUUCCGCCUGGGGAGUACGGUCGCAAGGCUG
Molecule: ribosomal RNA, 372 nt
Filed under: uncultured organism
Description: bacterial SSU rRNA
Rfam family: Bacterial small subunit ribosomal RNA
Source: RNAcentral